Long non-coding RNA from Triticum dicoccoides, 710 nucleotides. RefSeq lists it as uncharacterized. NCBI's taxonomy places the organism in Eukaryota, Viridiplantae, Streptophyta, Magnoliopsida, Poales, Poaceae. The record is from RefSeq and is a predicted model, not a curated record. The transcript has 4 exons.
GAUGACAGAUCUGUACCAAGAGGCCUAUGGAGAAUCAUCGCAUGAACAGAUUCCUAAUAGCUCGAAACACCUUCUUACCAAGAUCAAGGCUUUGUAUGCUAAUAAUCCGAAACAUCAUGGAGAAGGCACAAGUUCUAGAAAUAUCUGUGUUCAAACAAGUCAAAUGCGUCAUGGAGAAGGUUCGAAUUCAAGAAAUAACCAUCCUCAAACAAGUCGUAUGCUCCACCAUGAUACAGAGGACGAAGUAUAUGAUUAUGAGCCAACCUCCGGUUUGGUCACGUUGCUGGAUAAAUUGAGCUUAAGAGAGAACCAUAAUGAUGCAAUCACGCAAGACCUAUCUGAUGUUCCACCUGAUGAGAGAACUUUGUUCGUGACAUUUUCUAAUGGCUAUCCACUGACCAAGGAUGAACUACACGAAUUUUUUAUGAGUAGUGGAGGCCUCUGGUUAAGAGGUACGACAUCGACGCCACGGACCUACUCAGCUAUCGCUUCAGGGCUACGUCGAACUCUCUAUCACCAAGGGUGCAAGCUCUAGCUUAGUGGACAUCGUAUCAUCAUUUACUAGUUUUCUUUUGGUACCUGGUUGUUGGCCCGAUUGUCGUUUCUGAACUGUUCCUGUGGGAUUUGUUGGUUGUUGGUUGUUCAGCAACUUGUGAUACUUUUUUAAUGGUUGUAAUCGGUGUUGUGAAUCUCCUUUUGCUUUAUCUAUA